GGCCUGGUGGUGUAAUAGUAACACGUCCUAAUAAAGUGCCCAAUAUUGAUCAUAAGAUUGGGAGGAAGCACCUCGUUCAAUUCGUGGCCAGGCCA
Non-coding RNA from Mycena crocata, 95 nucleotides. Lineage: Eukaryota; Fungi; Basidiomycota; Agaricomycetes; Agaricales; Mycenaceae. The record is from the annotation of a GenBank genome assembly.